GAUCGAUCACUCGGGAGUCAUUUUUUGGACGAUAAGCCUUAUACGAAUGAAUACUCAAAUUUGUUACAUGAAACACAUCUUUUAGAUGUCCAUGCUCACUAAAUAGUUAUGUUAAGCUUUUUUAAAGUUCUGAAGGCUUGUAAAUAUUUGUAAGGGCAUGUAAAUUCAACAAAAAAGAACGAUUGUUUGAACACAACAUCGUGCUGUAAUCUAGACUGCAAAAACAUCUUUAAAAAGGGGCAUCAAAAC
Molecule: non-coding RNA, 249 nt
Organism: Schizosaccharomyces pombe (fission yeast)
Lineage: Eukaryota; Fungi; Ascomycota; Schizosaccharomycetes; Schizosaccharomycetales; Schizosaccharomycetaceae
Source: the annotation of a GenBank genome assembly